CCUACGGGAGGCAGCAGUGGGGGAUAUUGCACAAUGGGGGAAACCCUGAUGCAGCGACGCCGCGUGAGUGAAGAAGUCUUUCGGUAUGUAAAGCUCUAUCAGCAGGGAAGAAAAUGACAGUACCUGACCACGAAGCCCCGGCUAACUCCGUGCCAGCAGCCGCGGUAAUACGUAGGGGGCAAGCGUUAUCCGGAUGUACUGGGUGUAAAGGCAGCGUAGACGGUUCUGUAAGUCUGGAGUGAAAGCCCGUGGCCCAACCCCGGGACUGCUGUGGAAACUGUGUGACUGGAGUACAGGAGGGGAAGGCGGAAUUCCUGGUGUAGCGGUGAAAUGCGUAGAUAUCAGGAGGAACACCGGCGGCGAAGGCGGCCGGCUGGACUGAAACUGACGUUGAGGCUCGAAAGCGUGGGGAGCAAACAGGAGUAGAUACCCCAGUAGUC
This 440-nucleotide ribosomal RNA is filed under the name uncultured bacterium. RNAcentral describes it as "partial 16S ribosomal RNA". It matches the Rfam family "Bacterial small subunit ribosomal RNA", at positions 338 to 795 of the family's 1533-position model. The record is from RNAcentral.